CAUUGGCAAAGUUAAUAAAGAACAGCUUCUGCCAAUCUCAGGCAAUUCUAAAAAAAUAAUCACUUUGCAAGACUUUAAUAAAUUAAGGGAUAUGAAUGUGAAAAAUAGAAUGGUUCGUCAAAUCUGCCAGAGCUGUGAGAAAACCAGUUGCUUUGUGGAUGUAGUGGUUGGGUUCAACAUUUCUACUCACCAUCAGGGGCAGCCUUUGUUCCAUGGCCACCCUCGCUUGGAAUCGUACCUGCCAUUCAUCUUACAGGACAUCACCUCCAUCAGGGGAGUGAGCUGUGGGGCAGGUGCAGAGGCACAGGUGAGCCUGGCCUUCAAGGUGAACAGUGAUCGAGAGUUCCCUGCCAAGUUCCAAAUCUACCAGAGAUCACUGUUUGACAGCUUGCUGCAAGUCACUGUCAGCGGCCCAACCCAUCUGAACGUACAGUUCUUGGAGUCAAUGUGGGAUACAUUUGAAGAUAAAUCUGCAUCUCGGGGACAGGUACUGCUGAUCUUUUCAGAUGGUCUCCAAGGUGAAAGCACCACAAUGCUUGAAAAUCAAUCAGACCGUCUGAGAAAAGCAGGACUUGAUGCUCUGCUGGUGGUAGCUCUCAACACAGCUGCUCAUGAUUUUUCCAGCUUUGAAUUUGGAAAAGGAUUUGAUUAUAGGACUCACUUGACCAUUGGAAUGACACAACUAGGCAACAUGCUGUCACAAUACCUGGUGAGUUUUUUUUAAAGUCUAGCUAUUCCAAAUGUCUUGAGAACUAAAUUGAACUCUU
Molecule: long non-coding RNA, 767 nt
Filed under: Fukomys damarensis (Damara mole-rat)
Lineage: Eukaryota; Metazoa; Chordata; Mammalia; Rodentia; Bathyergidae
Description: lncRNA (ENSFDAG00000028916.1)
Source: RNAcentral